UGGGGAAUUGUUCGCAAUGGGCGCAAGCCUGACGACGCAACGCCGCGUGGAGGAUGGAGAUCUUCUGGUCGUAAACUCCUUUCGAUCGAGACAAAUGGCCUUCGGGUAAAUAGCCCGGAGGAAUGACGGUACCGAGUGAGGAAGCCCCGGCUAACUCUGUGCCAGCAGCCGCGGUAAUACAGAGGGGGCAAGCGUUGUUCGGAAUUACUGGGCGUAAAGGGCGCGUAGGCGGCCUGUUAAGUCGAACGUGAAAUCCCCGGGCUCAACCCGGGAACUGCGUCCGAAACUGGCAGGCUUGAAUCCGGGAGAGGGAUGUGGAAUUCCAGGUGUAGCGGUGAAAUGCGUAGAUAUCUGGAGGAACAUCGGUGGCGAAGGCGACAUCCUGGACCGGUAUUGACGCUGAGGCGCGAAAGCCAGGGGAGCAAA
This 426-nucleotide ribosomal RNA is filed under the name uncultured bacterium. RNAcentral describes it as "bacterial SSU rRNA". It matches the Rfam family "Bacterial small subunit ribosomal RNA", at positions 355 to 772 of the family's 1533-position model. The record is from RNAcentral.